Molecule: ribosomal RNA, 478 nt
Filed under: uncultured bacterium
Lineage: Bacteria
Description: partial 16S ribosomal RNA
Rfam family: Bacterial small subunit ribosomal RNA
Source: RNAcentral
GACGAACGCUGGCGGCGUGCUUAACACAUGCAAGUCGAACGGUAAGGCCCUUCGGGGUACACGAGUGGCGAACGGGUGAGUAACACGUGGGUGAUCUGCCCUGCACUUCGGGAUAAGCCUGGGAAACUGGGUCUAAUACCGGAUAGGACCACUGCCUGCAUGGGUGGUGGCGGAAAGCUUUUGCGGUGUGGGAUGGGCCCGCGGCCUAGCAGCUUGUUGGUGGGGUGAUGGCCUACCAAGGCGACGACGGGUAGCCGGCCUGAGAGGGUGACCGGCCACACUGGGACUGAGAUACGGCCCAGACUCCUACGGGAGGCAGCAGUGGGGAAUAUUGCACAAUGGGCGCAAGCCUGAUGCAGCGACGCCGCGUGAGGGAUGACGGCCUUCGGGUUGUAAACCUCUUUCAGCACCGACGAAGCGCAAGUGACGGUAGGUGCAGAAGAAGGACCGGCCAACUACGUGCCAGCCGCCGCAGUAA